Molecule: ribosomal RNA, 529 nt
Filed under: uncultured bacterium
Lineage: Bacteria
Description: bacterial SSU rRNA
Rfam family: Bacterial small subunit ribosomal RNA
Source: RNAcentral
GCAGUCGGGAAUUUUGGGCAAUGGGCGAAAGCUGACCCAGCAACGCCGCGUGAAGGAUGAAGUAUUUCGGUAUGUAAACUUCGAAAGAAUGGGAAGAAAACAAUGACGGUACCAUUUAUAAGGUCCGGCUAACUACGUGCCGGCAGCCGCGGUAAUACGUAGGGACCAAGCGUUGUUCGGAUUUACUGGGCGUAAAGGGCGCGUAGGCGGCAAUUCAAGUCAUCUGUGAAAUCUCCGGGCUUAACUCGGAACGGUCAGAUGAUACUGCUUUGCUAGAGUGCAGAAGGGGCAAUCGGAAUUCUUGGUGUAGCGGUGAAAUGCGUAGAUAUCAAGAGGAACACCAGAGGUGAAGACGGGUUGCUGGGCUGACACUGACGCUGAGGCGCGAAAGCCAGGGGGAGCAAACGGGAUUAGAUACCCCGGUAGUCCUGGCCCUAAACGAUGAAUACUUGGUGUCUGGAGUUUUAAUGCUCCGGGUGCCGUCGCUAACGUUUUUAGUAUUCCGCCUGGGGAGUACGCACGCAAUUUG